AAGUCCAGGGUCUAUAAUAACCGUAUUCGGAUUUGCACUCCGGGUACUGGGCU
Molecule: transfer RNA, 53 nt
Filed under: Trioceros deremensis
Lineage: Eukaryota; Metazoa; Chordata; Lepidosauria; Squamata; Chamaeleonidae
Description: tRNA-Cys
Source: RNAcentral